RNAcentral lists this ribosomal RNA (460 nucleotides) under uncultured bacterium. RNAcentral describes it as "partial 16S ribosomal RNA". It matches the Rfam family "Bacterial small subunit ribosomal RNA", at positions 338 to 795 of the family's 1533-position model. The record is from RNAcentral.
CCUACGGGAGGCUGCAGUGAGGAAUAUUGGUCAAUGGGCGGAAGCCUGAACCAGCCAAGUCGCGUGAGGGAAUAAGGCCCUACGGGUCGUAAACCUCUUUUGCCGGGGGGCAAGGGCGGGGACGUGUCCCGGCCCGGAGAGUACCCGGCGGAAAAGCAUCCGCUAACUCCGUGCCAGCAGCCGCGGUAAUACGGAGGAUGCGAGCGUUAUCCGGAUUUAUUGGGUUAAAGGGGUGCGUAGGCGGGCUUUCAAGUCAGCGGGAAAAACUCGGGGCCAAACCCGGUCCGGCCGUUGAUACUGGGGGCCUUGAGUGGGCGAGAGGGAGGCGGAAGGCGAGGUGUAGCGGUGAAAUGCAUAGAGAUCGCGCAGAACUCCGAUUGCGAAGGCAGCAUGCCGGCUCCACACUGACGCUGAGGCGCGAAAGCGUGGGUAUCGAACAGGAUUAGAUACCCCAGUAGUC